AUGAACCUCGUCGGCGCGGACCUCAUGGAUGACAAGACGCGAGACCUCUUCGUCGUCGGCGGCACUGGCGAUUUCUUCAUGCCGCGCGGCUUCGCCACACUCCGGCUCGAUGCAUCUGAGGGAACCGUCUACUUCCGUCUGCAGAUGGACAUCAAGCUCUACGAGUGCUACGUCUGA
Molecule: ribosomal RNA, 177 nt
Filed under: Triticum aestivum (bread wheat)
Lineage: Eukaryota; Viridiplantae; Streptophyta; Magnoliopsida; Poales; Poaceae
Description: partial small subunit ribosomal RNA
Source: RNAcentral